This 289-nucleotide unclassified non-coding RNA is filed under the name Hevea brasiliensis (rubber tree). The record is from RNAcentral. Lineage: Eukaryota; Viridiplantae; Streptophyta; Magnoliopsida; Malpighiales; Euphorbiaceae.
GAUCAUGGAUUUGUCACACAUGCGUUGAAACUUCUCUUUAAGCUCCGUCUUGUGCUCACUAUUAGUGAUGCGAAAGUAGUAAUCAGGGUACGUGCUUUGAUCAACACAAUUGGGCGGAGUUGCUGUUCCGAUGGCCAAGACAGUGGCGGGACCUGCGGCCCGUUGAGCCUUGCGUACUUCCUCUACGGUCACCAUUUUUUUUCCUUGAGGAAGUUAAAGAAACGAUUAGAAGGUGAUCAAGAACUGCAGGUGGAUGAAUAAGCUCUCAAGAGUUGUGAAUGAGUCUUGU